GGAUCGUUCUUUUUGGUGAAUCUCGUGGUUUUCGCUUGACUGUGAAUGGCUCUGUGGUGUUGAUGUUUCGAGCUUUCUGUAUGAUAUCUGUUUGCUAAAAUGCCGGAUUGGAAUGCGAUUGGUGGAUUGAAACGUGAUUUGAGUUUUCCGCGACAAUCUUGCUCAAUUAAAUGCCUAUAUGGGACGCUGAAUGGAAAACUAGUUGUGAUUUGAUUAUGGAAUGAUCUAGCUUUACUCUAUGAAGACUCUCCAGAGUUCCACCAAGGAUUUGAGGCGUUGUGUGAAUUCUUUGAGGUCGUCAGUUGUUUUGGUCCUAUUCAAAUGAAGAUCUCGAACUUGUCUUGAAGCUUGGAUUUUGAAUUUCAUUUUGGUGUUGCGGCUGCCCUGCUUCUCUUGUCUAACGGUGGGGUUUUGGGAGUAUUCAAGUUGAUGGGUGGAGAUGACUCUCAAGAUAUUACGGAAGGUAUUACGGACGGAGUAGACGAGGAGGCGGGAUGGACGCAUGGUACUGUCUGAAGUCUAGGAGUGUAGAGCAUACUGAUUUCAUUGUGAAAGAUUUUUUUUUAUUAUUUGUAAAGAGGGAUGUUUGGGAAUUAUUGUCCUUAUUCAUUAAA
Zingiber officinale is the source of this 614-nucleotide long non-coding RNA. RefSeq lists it as uncharacterized. Lineage: Eukaryota; Viridiplantae; Streptophyta; Magnoliopsida; Zingiberales; Zingiberaceae. The record is from RefSeq and is a predicted model, not a curated record. The transcript has 2 exons.